Molecule: ribosomal RNA, 490 nt
Filed under: uncultured bacterium
Lineage: Bacteria
Description: partial 16S ribosomal RNA
Rfam family: Bacterial small subunit ribosomal RNA
Source: RNAcentral
AUUGAACGCUGGCGGCAGGCCUAACACAUGCAAGUCGAACGGUAACAGGAAGAAGCUUGCUUCUUUGCUGACGAGUGGCGGACGGGUGAGUAAUGUCUGGGAAACUGCCUGAUGGGGGGGGAUAACUACUGGAAACGGUAGCUAAUACCGCAUAACGUCGCAAGACCAAAAAGGGGGACCUUCGGGCCUCUUGCCAUCGGAUGUGCCCAGAUGGGAUUAGCUAGUAGGUGGGGUAACGGCUCACCUAGGCGACGAUCCCUAGCUGGUCUGAGAGGAUGACCAGCCACACUGGAACUGAGACACGGUCCAGACUCCUACGGGAGGCAGCAGUGGGGAAUAUUGCACAAUGGGCGCAAGCCUGAUGCAGCCAUGCCGCGUGUAUGAAGAAGGCCUUCGGGUUGUAAAGUACUUUCAGCGGGGAGGAAGGGAGUAAAGUUAAUACCUUUGCUCAUUGACGUUACCCGCAGAAGAAGCACCGGCUAACUCCGUG